GACGAACGCUGGCGGCGUGCUUAACACAUGCAAGUCGAGCGGUAAGGCCCUUUCGGGGGUACACGAGCGGCGAACGGGUGAGUAACACGUGGGUGACCUGCCCUCAGCUCUGGGAUAAGCCUGGGAAACCGGGUCUAAUACCGGAUAUGACUCCAUGACGCAUGUUGUGGGGUGGAAAGCCUUGUGCGGCUGAGGAUGGGCCCGCGGCCUAUCAGCUUGUUGGUGGGGUGAUGGCCUACCAAGGCGACGACGGGUAGCCGGCCUGAGAGGGCGACCGGCCACACUGGGACUGAGACACGGCCCAGACUCCUACGGGAGGCAGCAGUGGGGAAUCUUGCGCAAUGGGCGAAAGCCUGACCCAGCGACGCCGCGUGGGGAUGAAGGCC
This 386-nucleotide ribosomal RNA is filed under the name uncultured bacterium. RNAcentral's name for it is "bacterial SSU rRNA". It matches the Rfam family "Bacterial small subunit ribosomal RNA", at positions 28 to 416 of the family's 1533-position model. The record is from RNAcentral.